UUUAAAGUCUGACCUGCCCAAUGAGGAGUUAAAUGGCCGCGGUAAUUUGACCGUGCAAAGGUAGCAUAAUCAUUAGUUUUUUAAUUGAAAGCUGGUAUGAAUGGUUGGACGAGGGGAUAACUGUCUCAAUUUAAUUGUAAUAGAAUUUUAAUUUUAAGUUAAAAUGCUUAAAUAAGUUUAAAAGACGAGAAGACCCUAUAGAGUUUAAUAUAAGGUUAUGUAUUUAAGUAUAGGAAUAUAGAUAGUUAUAUAUAAUUUUGUAUUUUGUUGGGGCGACAGAAAAAUUGAAGGAACUUUUUUUUUAUUAAGUCAUUAAUGUAUGAAUGAAUGAUCCGUUAUUUACGAUUAUAAGAUUAAAUUACCUUAGGGAUAACAGCGUUAUUUUUUUUGAGAGUUCAAAUCGAAAAAAGAGUUUGCGACCUCGAUGUUGGAUUAAAAUUUAUUUUUGGUGUAGGGGCUAAAAUAUUAGGUCUGUUCGACCUUUGAAAUUUUACAUGAUCUGAGUUUAAACCGGCGUGAGCCAGGUUGGUUUCUAUCUUUAAAAAGAUUAAGUACUUUAGUACGAAAGGAUCAAGUAUUUAUAAAAUUUAUUAUUAGGGAAUACCAUUAUU
Molecule: ribosomal RNA, 611 nt
Filed under: Melolontha melolontha (common cockchafer)
Lineage: Eukaryota; Metazoa; Arthropoda; Insecta; Coleoptera; Scarabaeidae
Description: partial 16S large subunit ribosomal RNA
Rfam family: Bacterial large subunit ribosomal RNA
Source: RNAcentral